AUACGUAGGGGGCGAGCGUUGUCCGGAAUUACUGGGCGUAAAGGGUGCGUAGGCGGUUCUUUAAGUUGGAUGUGAAAUACCCGGGCUUAACCUGGGGGGUGCAUUCAAGACUGGGGAACUAGAGUUCAGGAGAGGGAAGCGGAAUUCCUAGUGUAGCGGUGAAAUGCGUAGAUAUUAGGAGGAACACCAGUGGCGAAGGCGGCUUUCUGGACUGACACUGACGCUGAGGCACGAAAGCGUGGGGAGCAAACAGGAUUAGAUACCCUGGUAGUCCACGCGGUAAACGAUGAAUACUAGGUGUAGGGGGUAUCAACUCCCUCUGUGCCGCAGCUAACGCAAUAAGUAUUCCGCCUGGGGAGUACGGCCGCAAGGUUGAA
Molecule: ribosomal RNA, 377 nt
Filed under: uncultured bacterium
Lineage: Bacteria
Description: bacterial SSU rRNA
Rfam family: Bacterial small subunit ribosomal RNA
Source: RNAcentral